GACGAACGCUGGCGGCGUGCUUAACACAUGCAAGUCGAACGGAAAGGCCCUGCUUUUGUGGGGUGCUCGAGUGGCGAACGGGUGAGUAACACGUGAGUAACCUGCCCUUGACUUUGGGAUAACUUCAGGAAACUGGGGCUAAUACCGGAUAGGAGCUCCUGCUGCAUGGUGGGGGUUGGAAAGUUUCGGCGGUUGGGGAUGGACUCGCGGCUUAUCAGCUUGUUGGUGGGGUAGUGGCUUACCAAGGCUUUGACGGGUAGCCGGCCUGAGAGGGUGACCGGCCACAUGGGGACUGGGAUACGGCCCAGACUCCUACGGGAGGCAGCAGUGGGGAAUAUUGCACAAUGGGCGGAAGCCUGAUGCAGCAACGCCGCGUGCGGGAGGACGGCCUUCGGGUUGUAAACCGCUUUCGCCUGUGACGAAGCGUGAGUGACGGAAAUGGGUAAAGAAGCACCGGCUAACUACGU
This 467-nucleotide ribosomal RNA is filed under the name uncultured bacterium. RNAcentral's name for it is "partial 16S ribosomal RNA". It matches the Rfam family "Bacterial small subunit ribosomal RNA", at positions 28 to 506 of the family's 1533-position model. The record is from RNAcentral.